AGUGAACGCUGGCGGUAGACCUAACACAUGCAAGUCGAACGGCAGCACAGUAAGAGCUUGCUCUUACGGGUGGCGAGUGGCGGACGGGUGAGGAAUACAUCGGAAUCUACUUUUUCGUGGGGGAUAACGUAGGGAAACUUACGCUAAUACCGCAUACGACCUACGGGUGAAAGCAGGGGAUCUUCGGACCUUGCGCGAUUGAAUGAGCCGAUGUCGGAUUAGCUAGUUGGCGGGGUAAAGGCCCACCAAGGCGACGAUCCGUAGCUGGUCUGAGAGGAUGAUCAGCCACACUGGAACUGAGACACGGUCCAGACUCCUACGGGAGGCAGCAGUGGGGAAUAUUGGGCAAUGGGCGCAAGCCUGAUCCAGCCAUACCGCGUGAGUGAAGAAGGCCUUCGGGUUGUAAAGCCCUUUUGUUGGGAAAGAAAAGCAGCAGGUUAAUACCCCGCUGUUCUGACGGUACCCAAAGAAUAAGCACCGGCUAACUUCGUG
RNAcentral lists this ribosomal RNA (492 nucleotides) under uncultured bacterium. RNAcentral describes it as "partial 16S ribosomal RNA". It matches the Rfam family "Bacterial small subunit ribosomal RNA", at positions 29 to 507 of the family's 1533-position model. The record is from RNAcentral.